UCCAGACUCCUACGGGAGGCAGCAGUGGGGAAUAUUGGGCAAUGGGCGCAAGCCUGACCCAGCAACGCCGCGUGAAGGAAGAAGGCUUUCGGGUUGUAAACUUCUUUUGACAGGGAAGAGCAGAAGACGGUACCUGUCGAAUAAGCCACGGCUAACUACGUGCCAGCAGCCGCGGUAAUACGUAGGUGGCAAGCGUUAUCCGGAUUUACUGGGUGUAAAGGGCGUGUAGGCGGGAAAGCAAGUCAGAUGUGAAAACCAUGGGCUCAACCUGUGGCCUGCAUUUGAAACUGUUUUUCUUGAGUACUGGAGAGGCAGACGGAAUUCCUAGUGUAGCGGUGAAAUGCGUAGAUAUCAGGAGGAACACCGGCGGCGAAGGCGGCCUGCUGGACCGCGACUGACGUUGAGGCUCGAAAGCGUGGGGAGCGAACAGGAUUAGAUACCCGGGUAA
RNAcentral lists this ribosomal RNA (448 nucleotides) under uncultured bacterium. RNAcentral describes it as "partial 16S ribosomal RNA". It matches the Rfam family "Bacterial small subunit ribosomal RNA", at positions 330 to 793 of the family's 1533-position model. The record is from RNAcentral.